GAGGAGAGGAGAGGAGGGGGGGGAGGACUUGCUGGGAAAGAAAAGCCACCCCCACCACCCAAUCCCGCAUCUUCGCUCCCGUCUUAUUUCUCGCCCGCCCAGCCUGGCCGUGCCGCAGUCGCUCUUUCGCGCCGGAUCAAGCCUCCUCGGGAGUUGCCGCCUCGCCAGCGUCGUCCCCCCCAUCAUGAUCACCCCACCGCCGCAUCAGGAGACCAGCCAGCCCGUCGAUCCCUUCACUUAUGACUAUGAAACGUUGCGCUGGGUGGGGAUGAUCCUGGCCUCCAUCAUGUUUGUGCUGGGAAUCUUGAUAGCACUGAGUAAAAAACUCAGAUGCAAAAAAUCAGACCCUGGAAUGUCAGAUCCCAGGGCGACAGGGAAAAGCCCCACUCCAGCUGGCACCGUGUAGACACCUUCCUGAAGAUGUCCUGCUCCCGAGUGGCUGGCGAUGAAACCGCACCCGGGACCUUUCUCCGGAGACCUCGGCACUGACUGCCCGGGUGGGGGAGGGGCUCUCCUGUCUAACCUCAAGGAGGGAGGGGGCACUUUUAUAACCAGUUAGCUCUUGCGCUUCCAUUGCAUGAUGGGAGCAGGCCACCUGGCUGGGGUUGGGGCACGGCACAGGCCACGGGGUGAUGCAGCCCAUCUGCCAGUCAGUGUCAGCUGACCCCCGACUCUACUGGGGGCUGGUCCUUAUAAUUCCCCCUCCCUCUCCUACACAGGGUCCCAUUAAAAUGCAAUAAUGCUGCCUGCUGCUGCUGCUGCUGCUCUCUGGGAAAACAAAUCGACAAAAUGCUUCCUCGCUGCUGGGGAUAAUAUAACCCUCCAUUGCUGUUGCUGCUGCUGCUGCUGCUUUGCUGUCUGAGCCUCUUGCUGUGCUGUGAACGCCAUUAGCCACAAAAGUGAGGUGGCAUAGUCCAAAGAGCCCCACCCCCUUGCCUUGUGGGAAACUAGCCCUUUCUUGGGAGUGGGGGGGGGGGGCCACUGUAACGGAUUCCAUCCCUUCUAAUGGAUCGGACUCCUAGAACUAGGAUAUAAUAUUACUGCCGACCACUAGAGGGCGGCCAAGCGAAGAGUUUUUCUAUAGCUUGUUGCUGCCAUCUAGUGGUACAGUAGGGGUUUGCAGGCCUGAUCUAGGACUGUAGUCGGAGUGAUGAACAAGCAAGCUAGGGAAGAAUUCUUAGAAAGGGAAGGGUUGCUUUCUUGUCAUAGGGUCCUCUUCUGCCAAGGGACGCUGACCCCAGCUUCUCCAUGCAGUACCAUCCACAUCUCCAUGUCGCAUUCACACAUGGAGAAAAAUUUGACCAAUCAAUAAAAAUCAUGGUGGUUUUUUUUUUAAAACGAA
Molecule: non-coding RNA, 1342 nt
Organism: Pantherophis guttatus
Lineage: Eukaryota; Metazoa; Chordata; Lepidosauria; Squamata; Colubridae
Source: RefSeq, a predicted model, not a curated record